UUAGAUACUAUUUAGAUAUACGAA
RNAcentral lists this small nuclear RNA (24 nucleotides) under Arabidopsis thaliana (thale cress). RNAcentral describes it as "snRNA_09303". Lineage: Eukaryota; Viridiplantae; Streptophyta; Magnoliopsida; Brassicales; Brassicaceae. The record is from RNAcentral.